This 253-nucleotide ribosomal RNA is filed under the name uncultured bacterium. Its description in RNAcentral is "partial 16S ribosomal RNA". It matches the Rfam family "Bacterial small subunit ribosomal RNA", at positions 524 to 776 of the family's 1533-position model. The record is from RNAcentral.
UACGUAGGGGGCAAGCGUUAUCCGGAAUUACUGGGUGUAAAGGGAGCGUAGACGGUAAUGUAAGUCUGGAGUGAAAGGCGGGGGCCCAACCCCCGGACUGCUCUGGAAACUAUGUUACUAGAGUGCAGGAGAGGUAAGCGGAAUUCCUAGUGUAGCGGUGAAAUGCGUAGAUAUUAGGAGGAACACCAGUGGCGAAGGCGGCUUACUGGACUGUAACUGACGUUGAGGUUCGAAAGCGUGGGUAGCAAACAGG